UACGUAUGGGGCGAGCGUUGUCCGGAUUUACUGGGCGUAAAGGGUGAGUAGGCGGUCUGUCAAGUCAGUAGUGGAAGUCCAUUUCUCAAGGAUGGAAGUGCUAUAGAAACUGAUGGGCUUGAGUGCAGGAGAGGUUAUCGGAAUUCCCGGUGUGGCGGUGAAAUGCGUAGAGAUCGGGAGGAACACCAGUGGCGAAGGCGGGUAACUGGACUGCAACUGACGCUGAGGCGCGAAAGUGUGGGGAGCAAACAGGAUUAGAUACCCCCGUA
This 269-nucleotide ribosomal RNA is filed under the name uncultured prokaryote. Its description in RNAcentral is "partial 16S ribosomal RNA". It matches the Rfam family "Bacterial small subunit ribosomal RNA", at positions 524 to 792 of the family's 1533-position model. The record is from RNAcentral.